UACGAAGGGAGCUAGCGUUACUCGGAAUCACUGGGCGUAAAGCGCAUGUAGGCGGAAAUACAAGUCAGAGGUGAAAGCCCUGGGCUCAACCCAGGAAUUGCCUUUGAAACUGUAUUUCUUGAGUAUGACAGAGGAUGGUGGAAUUUCUAGUGUAGAGGUGAAAUUCGUAGAUAUUAGAAAGAACACCAGUGGCGAAGGCGACCAUCUGGGUCAUAACUGACGCUGAGAUGCGAAAGCGUGGGGAGCGAACGGG
RNAcentral lists this ribosomal RNA (253 nucleotides) under uncultured bacterium. Its description in RNAcentral is "partial 16S ribosomal RNA". It matches the Rfam family "Bacterial small subunit ribosomal RNA", at positions 524 to 776 of the family's 1533-position model. The record is from RNAcentral.